This is a long non-coding RNA of Peromyscus eremicus (cactus mouse), 1518 nucleotides long. RefSeq lists it as uncharacterized. Lineage: Eukaryota; Metazoa; Chordata; Mammalia; Rodentia; Cricetidae. The transcript is spliced from 3 exons. The record is from RefSeq and is a predicted model, not a curated record.
CUUUGACUUAAGAGACACAUGAACCCGCCACAAAAACCACGGCCAUGCACGUCAGAAGUAUUAGUGAGUUCAUAUCAUAGUUUCAGAGACAGCCUUGGAGAGAACACGUCUUUCAGGCACAUUUGUUCAGCUGGUUCUGCAGUUCAAACCCAGUAGUGGACAUGGUGGCUUGGAGUGGCGUGGUCUCACUUAGAAGCCAAAUGUAUUUCUGGAGCUCAAUGGACAGCGUUCCCAACCAAUCAAGAAAUGACAUAGUGAAUUAAGAAGAGGGUCCUACCAUCUGAAGUAAGAUGUUGGAAACACAGAUGCUCAACUGAGGAGCCAGUGAGAAAGAGGGCAAAAUGAUGGAUUUCAGAAAGCCUAGAGCUUCCAGCCUGGAGUCCCAAGAAGAUGGAGGGAGCCAUGGCCUGUCUCCUGGAGCAUGUGGAUUGUGAGCGCAGAGCUGGCUCUGGCUUGAGAGUGUGGCUCUGGGCUCCCUUGCAGGAGCGAGGCUAUCUCUACGAGGAAGACAGGCCUGCCGAAGCAUGGGUCCCUGGCUGGCUGAGCCUAAGGACGUUAGGAUCCUGUUUUACCAAAACUGGGGAUGGGACAGGAGGAAGGAAAAGUGAAAGGGAGUGUGGAGCAGUGGGUAGUUACAAGCCUGGGUGACCUCAGUGUGGGGCUGGGGCAAACAGAGCAUGUGGGGGACAGCUAUUGAGAAAGCAGACAUGUCUGAGCUUUGAAAUGUGCAAAUGAGUGUUAGGGAAGGAGUCAGAAGGGCAAAGCCCAUUACGGGGAAAACCAGGGUGAAACCGAAGAAGAGAAACAAUGAAAAUUGGAGAGUAUUGAGUUCGUAGGAAAUCGACACUCGGUAUUCUGUGGAAACUGUUGCUUUGGCUUUGGGCAUAACAGAACUGUAAAUGUGGAUAAUAUGUAAAUACCAUUUAUAAUUUAAAAAGUCUGGAAGAUUCAAAUGAGAUAAUCUUUCUGAGGGCGCUCUGACAAGGAUGGAGGAGGAUAUUUGUGGUUGAGGUGAAAAGACACUAGAUGUACAGUCUGAAGAAACAGAAUUCAAGAGACAGCCUGCCCAGGGGAAGAGGGAAGUCCCUGGUCCCCUCCUUGGCCUCUGGGCCCUGGGCCAGCAAAGUGUCAAUAACUGUUCUUUUCCAGGAAGCUCGGAGGGCUCUGAUACUUAAUCUUGAUGGACAACGUCACUAGAUUUAGAAUCACCUAGGAAACAGACCUCUGGGUGUGUCUACGAGGGUAUUUCCACAGAGGUUUCAGGAGGAAGGAAGGUCCACCCUGACGUGGGUGGCGCCAUUCCCUGGGCCGGGUCCUGGAUUUAAUGAACUGGAUAAAAGGAGAAAACAAGCCGAGUACAUCGGCUUCCACCUGCUUCCUGACUGUGGAUACACUGUGAACACGGCCUUGAGUCCCUGCCCCAUGCCUUCCUUCCGAGAUAGACUGUACCCUCAAACUGUGAGUCAGCGUCACCCUCCCUUCAUUAAAAGUCGCUCCUCUCAUCUGUUUAUCACUGCA